AACAAGGUCUCCGUUGGUGAACCAGCGGAGGGAUCAUUACAGAGUGUAAAAACUCCCAAACCCUUUGUGAACAUACCACUGUUGCCUCGGCGGACCUACCCGGUAGCUACCCUGUAGCUACCCUGUAGCCGCCGGCGGACCACCAAACUCUGAUUAUGUAGAUAUCUGAGCGUACUUUUAAAUAAGUCAAAACUUUCAACAACGGAUCUCUUGGUUCUGGCAUCGAUGAAGAACGCAGCGAAAUGCGAUAAGUAAUGUGAAUUGCAGAAUUCAGUGAAUCAUCGAAUCUUUGAACGCACAUUGCGCCCAUUAGUACUCUAGUGGGCAUGCCUGUUCGAGCGUCAUUACGACCCUUAAGCCUAGCUUAGUAUUGGGAACCUACGUGCGGCAGCUACCCUGUAGCUACCCUGUAGCUCCUUAAAGACAACGGCGGAGACGUGGAGUCCUCUGAGCUUAGUAACUUUUCUAGCUUCUGAGGGCGCCGCGGCCCCUGCCGUAAAACCCCAACUUUUAGUGGUUGACCUCGGAUCAGGUAGGAAUACCCGCUGAACUUAAGCAUAUCAAUAA
RNAcentral lists this ribosomal RNA (567 nucleotides) under Ascomycota sp. Its description in RNAcentral is "eukaryotic LSU rRNA". The stretch from base 191 to 344 matches the Rfam family "5.8S ribosomal RNA". The record is from RNAcentral. Lineage: Eukaryota; Fungi; Ascomycota.